UGGGGAAUUUUGGACAAUGGGCGAAAGCCUGAUCCAGCAAUGCCGCGUGUGUGAAGAAGGCCUUCGGGUUGUAAAGCGCUUUUGUCCGGAAAGAAAUCCUUGGCUCUAAUACAGUCGGGGGAUGACGGUACCGGAAGAAUAAGCACCGGCUAACUACGUGCCAGCAGCCGCGGUAAUACGUAGGGUGCAAGCGUUAAUCGGAAUUACUGGGCGUAAAGCGUGCGCAGGCGGUUUGCUAAGACCGAUGUGAAAUCCCCGGGCUCAACCUGGGAACUGCAUUGGUGACUGGCAGGCUAGAGUAUGGCAGAGGGGGGUAGAAUUCCACGUGUAGCAGUGAAAUGCGUAGAGAUGUGGAGGAAUACCGAUGGCGAAGGCAGCCCCCUGGGCCAAUACUGACGCUCAUGCACGAAAGCGUGGGGAGCAAACAGGAUUAGAUACCCUGGUAGUCCACGCCCUAAACGAUGUCAACUAGUUGUUGGGGAUUCAUUUCCUUAGUAACGUAGCUAACGCGUGAAGUUGAUCGCCUGGGGAGUACGGUCGCAAGAUUAAAACUUAAAGGAAUUGACGGGGUCAUAGCUGUUUCCU
This 585-nucleotide ribosomal RNA is filed under the name uncultured bacterium. Its description in RNAcentral is "partial 16S ribosomal RNA". It matches the Rfam family "Bacterial small subunit ribosomal RNA", at positions 355 to 1375 of the family's 1533-position model. The record is from RNAcentral.